RNAcentral lists this transfer RNA (82 nucleotides) under Apaloderma vittatum (bar-tailed trogon). It matches the Rfam family "tRNA". Rfam says of the family: Transfer RNA (tRNA) molecules are approximately 80 nucleotides in length. Their secondary structure includes four short double-helical elements and three loops (D, anti-codon, and T loops). The record is from Rfam by way of RNAcentral. Lineage: Eukaryota; Metazoa; Chordata; Aves; Trogoniformes; Trogonidae.
GGCCGGUUAGCUCAGUGGUUUGAGCGUGAUGCUGGCAACAAGGACCAACACCGCGAUUGCGGGUUUGAUUCCCGCUCGGCCC